This 497-nucleotide ribosomal RNA is filed under the name uncultured bacterium. Its description in RNAcentral is "partial 16S ribosomal RNA". It matches the Rfam family "Bacterial small subunit ribosomal RNA", at positions 28 to 507 of the family's 1533-position model. The record is from RNAcentral.
GAUGAACGCUGGCGGCGUGCCUAAUACAUGCAAGUCGAGCGAACAGAUGAGGAGCUUGCUCCUCUGACGUUAGCGGCGGACGGGUGAGUAACACGUGGAUAACCUACCUAUAAGACUGGGAUAACUUCGGGAAACCGGAGCUAAUACCGGAUAAUAUAUUGAACCGCAUGGUUCAAUAGUGAAAGACGGUUUUGCUGUCACUUAUAGAUGGAUCCGCGCCGCAUUAGCUAGUUGGUAAGGUAACGGCUUACCAAGGCAACGAUGCGUAGCCGACCUGAGAGGGUGAACGGCCACCCUGGAACUGAGACACGGUCCAGACUCCUACGGGAGGCAGCAGUAGGGAAUCUUCCGCAAUGGGCGAAAGCCUGACGGAGCAACGCCGCGUGAGUGAUGAAGGUCUUCGGAUCGUAAAACUCUGUUAUUAGGGAAGAACAAAUGUGUAAGUAACUAUGCACGUCUUGACGGUACCUAAUCAGAAAGCCACGGCUAACUACGUG